GCAGCCAAGCACGGCGAAGCAUGACAACAUUGACAAGCAUGCUGUGAGUUCGUGGCGGUUCGUCAGCGUUGAAUUUGGUCAGCGGAUAGGAUUUUGAAUGAGCCCGCAGUAGUUCCAGAUUAAUACUUCAAGUUAGCUUCAAGUUAUUAAACAGAAAGUUCAACAUGAAGCGAAAUUUGUAGAGGAAAACCAGCAAAAAAGAAAAGAAAAAAGGAAGCGGCCAAGAAAAAGGAAGCGGGCGGGGACGAGAAACAUAUUUUUUUUACUUGGCCUUACGUGUAUGGAAGUAUGGAACUGAUAAGAUAUUAACGUACUGAAAAGCCACCUUCAAAUUGUUUCUUAUUAAUAAAUGAUAUUAUAAUUAAAAGAGGAGUAUUUUUAUAAAUAACACUAAAAUCAGGUUUUUAUUUGGUCCGGGCGAUUGUAAUUGGAACGAGGUUGCAUGUUUAUAGCUGAUGUAAUAACACAUAGUCAAUUUAUCUCGGCAAUCAGUGACUGAUUUGCAUACAGCACACAAAAGACAAGAUAGAUCCAGA
Non-coding RNA from Paramuricea clavata, 536 nucleotides. NCBI's taxonomy places the organism in Eukaryota, Metazoa, Cnidaria, Anthozoa, Malacalcyonacea, Plexauridae. The record is from the annotation of a GenBank genome assembly.